RNAcentral lists this ribosomal RNA (493 nucleotides) under uncultured bacterium. RNAcentral's name for it is "partial 16S ribosomal RNA". It matches the Rfam family "Bacterial small subunit ribosomal RNA", at positions 30 to 523 of the family's 1533-position model. The record is from RNAcentral.
AUUGAACGCUGGCGGCAUGCUUUACACAUGCAAGUCGAACGGUAACAGGUUAAGCUGACGAGUGGCGAACGGGUGAGUAAUGCAUCGGAACGUGCCCGCUCGUGGGGGAUAACGCAGCGAAAGCUGCGCCAAUACCGCAUACGAUCUGAGGAUGAAAGCGGGGGACCCUAAGGCCUCGCGCGAUCGGAGCGGCCGAUGUCAGAUUAGGUAGUUGGUGGGGUAAAGGCUCACCAAGCCAACGAUCUGUAGCUAGUCUGAGAGGACGACCAGCCACACUGGGACUGAGACACGGCCCAGACUCCUACGGGAGGCAGCAGUGGGGAAUUUUGGACAAUGGGCGAAAGCCUGAUCCAGCAAUGCCGCGUGCAGGAAGAAGGCCUUCGGGUUGUAAACUGCUUUUGUACGGAGCGAAAAGGUCUCCUCUAAUACAGGGGGCUCAUGACGGUACCGUAAGAAUAAGCACCGGCUAACUACGUGCCAGCCGCCGCGGUAA